Non-coding RNA from Pelobates cultripes (western spadefoot toad), 1145 nucleotides. The record is from the annotation of a GenBank genome assembly. NCBI's taxonomy places the organism in Eukaryota, Metazoa, Chordata, Amphibia, Anura, Pelobatidae.
AAAAAAAAAUGCCUGCAUGGAAACAAAUUUAUUGAAACAUUCACAGAUGAUAUAACAGAUGAUGAACAUCUCACUGGCAGCGUCUUUGCUGACCACAACAAUAGUGCCAUAACCAAGACAGUUUCUUACACUAUCUGCUUAUGCUUUGGGAGCAUAAUGUAUCUUGCAGAACAUCUAAUUGCCUUCAAUAAGAUUAAAGCAAUCAAUACACACAAUUUAGCCAAGGAAACCGCUUUACAACAGAAAUGUCCGUGCAGAGAUGUCUUGACACAGAGUGGAGUGGAUGUUCGUACAUACAGAAUGGACAAUACAUAUUAGAGAUAAAAAGGACAUUCAACAUUUUUUCAGUCACAUUGUUAAACCCACGACUGGCCUGCUCUGAUUUUAUCGUCCUCUAGUGCUGUUUGGAUUUUUUAUUUGGAGGCAAAUCAAUAUUACUAAUUAUUUAAGAUCCUUUGAAUAAUAUUUAUUCAUGGAGGCAACCAAGAAUAAUCCCUUGUCCACUCAUAGAGGGAAAGUAAGACUUUUUAUGGAUAUUAGAUAGAACUUUGUGCAACUAAUAUUAAACAUUCAACAUUUGUGUACGUCUCAUAGUGAAGGGAGCUCUUGCAAAAUAGAAUAAAAAAAAUCAUAUAAUUUCAUGCUCUCCGUCUUUACAUCUAGAAUCCUUUAAUCCUUAAUCCAAAUUAGAAAAAGUUUAACAUACGACAUCAGCACAUUAAAUAUAACCAGAUGUGCGGUCUGUUUACAUAUCGAAUGAAUAUAACCAGUAGUGCGGUCUGUUUACAUAUCGAAUGACAGGUUAUAUUAUAUUGCCAUGUACUUUGAGACACUGGACAAUACCACUUCAUUAGUCUGACAAGGUUUCCUGAUUUGCACAGAAAUAAUCACUUAUUUGACUGAACACCUGGAUACAAACUCUGUAUAGAAAAUCUUAUGAUGUACAGUAAUCAUAAAAAGUGUUUAAAUUGGCAAAGAUCUUAAGUGACAUGUCCGGCGUUAUCAUUUUGAGAUCUCAUCAAGGCCUGAUCAUUUGUAUAUUGGCGAGACUUCACAGUUUUCGCUCUGUAUUUUCGCCUUUUCUGUUGAUGUAUAUGAUUUUAGAACUUUAAAGUAAAUAUGUGAACUGAAAAUAUUUCUUUCAU